CAGAGCCUUGAUCUCUGUGGAAGGCAGGGUAGAAAUCUAGAAGAUGAGGUUUUUGGGUCUUCUUCUGUGUCUGGUGGCAGUUCUCCAAGGUGUUCUGUCCCAGGUUCAGCUGAAGGAGUCAGGACCUGGGCUGAUAACACCCUCACAGACGCUGUCCCUCACCUGCUCAGUCUCUGGAUUCUCCAUCACAGACAGUGGUUACUGCUGGCACUGGAUCCGUCAACACUCAGGGAAGGGACUGGUAUGGAUUGGGGGGAUAUGUUCUGGAGGAAGCACUAAUUACAGUCCUACAUUCAAGAGCCGCAUUUCCAUCACCAGAGACACGUCCAAGAAUGAGUUCUCCCUUCACCUGGGCUCUGUGACCACAGAGGACACGGCCCUGUAUUACUGUGCAAGACACAGUCAGGGGAGCUCAAUGUGA
This is a non-coding RNA of Chinchilla lanigera (long-tailed chinchilla), 421 nucleotides long. The record is from the annotation of a RefSeq genome assembly. NCBI's taxonomy places the organism in Eukaryota, Metazoa, Chordata, Mammalia, Rodentia, Chinchillidae.